Molecule: long non-coding RNA, 335 nt
Filed under: Amborella trichopoda
Lineage: Eukaryota; Viridiplantae; Streptophyta; Magnoliopsida; Amborellales; Amborellaceae
Description: long non-coding RNA (ATRI_LNC001604)
Source: RNAcentral
AAGUUUUCUAUUUAGCGUGAUUCCUAACUUUAUAUAUACGGGAUGAAAAUACAGAGAAUUUGUGUGCUCUAUUUUCUCUAUUUGGUUCACCAUAUGGGAACAAUGGUUUCCUCUAGCUAUUUGGUUCACCAUAUGGGAAUGGUGGUUUCCUCUAGAGAGAGAGGCGGGCAGGACCUCAUGUGCAUAAGAUGCAAAAUUUCCUCUCAGAGAAAAAUUAACUUCCUAUGAAGAGAAACUUUGGGAUGGUUUCUCUAAGAGAGAAAUUAGUUUCCUAUGUAGAGAAACUUUGGGAUGGUGCCUUUGGUAGACUCCUCAACAUUGAGAGGUUGGUUUUU